CGAAAGUCCCAGACAGCAGCCAUGAGCCAGACCGUGUUUACAUGGGAUGGCUCAUGGAUAUUGGACGGGCUGACCUGUAUAAGCAAGUAAGGCAUUUGCCUGGAUUGCGAAUAUAGGAGGGGAUGUCGAGAGUGCAAAGCACGAAGACAUCAACUUUUA
Molecule: small RNA, 159 nt
Filed under: Clostridiales bacterium CHKCI001
Lineage: Bacteria; Bacillati; Bacillota; Clostridia; Eubacteriales
Description: Clostridiales-1 RNA
Rfam family: Clostridiales-1 RNA
Source: Rfam by way of RNAcentral